UUAAGCGACUAAGCGUACACGGUGGAUGCCCUGGCAGUCAGAGGCGAUGAAGGACGUGCUAAUCUGCGAUAAGCGUCGGUAAGGUGAUAUGAACCGUUAUAACCGGCGAUUUCCGAAUGGGGAAACCCAGUGUGUUUCGACACACUAUCAUUAACUGAAUCCAUAGGUUAAUGAGGCGAACCGGGGGAACUGAAACAUCUAAGUACCCCGAGGAAAAGAAAUCAACCGAGAUUCCCCCAGUAGCGGCGAGCGAACGGGGAGCAGCCCAGAGCCUGAAUCAGUGUGUGUGUUAGUGGAAGCGUCUGGAAAGGCGCGCGAUACAGGGUGACAGCCCCGUACACAAAAAUGCACAUGCUGUGAGCUCGAUGAGUAGGGCGGGACACGUGGUAUCCUGUCUGAAUAUGGGGGGACCAUCCUCCAAGGCUAAAUACUCCUGACUGACCGAUAGUGAACCAGUACCGUGAGGGAAAGGCGAAAAGAACCCCGGCGAGGGGAGUGAAAAAGAACCUGAAACCGUGUACGUACAAGCAGUGGGAGCACGCUUAGGCGUGUGACUGCGUACCUUUUGUAUAAUGGGUCAGCGACUUAUAUUCUGUAGCAAGGUUAACCGAAUAGGGGAGCCGAAGGGAAACCGAGUCUUAACUGGGCGUUAAGUUGCAGGGUAUAGACCCGAAACCCGGUGAUCUAGCCAUGGGCAGGUUGAAGGUUGGGUAACACUAACUGGAGGACCGAACCGACUAAUGUUGAAAAAUUAGCGGAUGACUUGUGGCUGGGGGUGAAAGGCCAAUCAAACCGGGAGAUAGCUGGUUCUCCCCGAAAGCUAUUUAGGUAGCGCCUCGUGAAUUCAUCUCCGGGGGUAGAGCACUGUUUCGGCAAGGGGGUCAUCCCGACUUACCAACCCGAUGCAAACUGCGAAUACCGGAGAAUGUUAUCACGGGAGACACACGGCGGGUGCUAACGUCCGUCGUGAAGAGGGAAACAACCCAGACCGCCAGCUAAGGUCCCAAAGUCAUGGUUAAGUGGGAAACGAUGUGGGAAGGCCCAGACAGCCAGGAUGUUGGCUUAGAAGCAGCCAUCAUUUAAAGAAAGCGUAAUAGCUCACUGGUCGAGUCGGCCUGCGCGGAAGAUGUAACGGGGCUAAACCAUGCACCGAAGCUGCGGCAGCGACGCUGAUGCGUUGUUGGGUAGGGGAGCGUUCUGUAAGCCUGCGAAGGUGUGCUGUGAGGCAUGCUGGAGGUAUCAGAAGUGCGAAUGCUGACAUAAGUAACGAUAAAGCGGGUGAAAAGCCCGCUCGCCGGAAGACCAAGGGUUCCUGUCCAACGUUAAUCGGGGCAGGGUGAGUCGACCCCUAAGGCGAGGCCGAAAGGCGUAGUCGAUGGGAAACAGGUUAAUAUUCCUGUACUUGGUGUUACUGCGAAGGGGGGACGGAGAAGGCUAUGUUGGCCGGGCGACGGUUGUCCCGGUUUAAGCGUGUAGGCUGGUUUUCCAGGCAAAUCCGGAAAAUCAAGGCUGAGGCGUGAUGACGAGGCACUACGGUGCUGAAGCAACAAAUGCCCUGCUUCCAGGAAAAGCCUCUAAGCAUCAGGUAACAUCAAAUCGUACCCCAAACCGACACAGGUGGUCAGGUAGAGAAUACCAAGGCGCUUGAGAGAACUCGGGUGAAGGAACUAGGCAAAAUGGUGCCGUAACUUCGGGAGAAGGCACGCUGAUAUGUAGGUGAAGUCCCUCGCGGAUGGAGCUGAAAUCAGUCGAAGAUACCAGCUGGCUGCAACUGUUUAUUAAAAACACAGCACUGUGCAAACACGAAAGUGGACGUAUACGGUGUGACGCCUGCCCGGUGCCGGAAGGUUAAUUGAUGGGGUUAGCGCAAGCGAAGCUCUUGAUCGAAGCCCCGGUAAACGGCGGCCGUAACUAUAACGGUCCUAAGGUAGCGAAAUUCCUUGUCGGGUAAGUUCCGACCUGCACGAAUGGCGUAAUGAUGGCCAGGCUGUCUCCACCCGAGACUCAGUGAAAUUGAACUCGCUGUGAAGAUGCAGUGUACCCGCGGCAAGACGGAAAGACCCCGUGAACCUUUACUAUAGCUUGACACUGAACAUUGAGCCUUGAUGUGUAGGAUAGGUGGGAGGCUUAGAAGUGUGGACGCCAGUCUGCAUGGAGCCGACCUUGAAAUACCACCCUUUAAUGUUUGAUGUUCUAACGUUGACCCGUAAUCCGGGUUGCGGACAGUGUCUGGUGGGUAGUUUGACUGGGGCGGUCUCCUCCUAAAGAGUAACGGAGGAGCACGAAGGUUGGCUAAUCCUGGUCGGACAUCAGGAGGUUAGUGCAAUGGCAUAAGCCAGCUUGACUGCGAGCGUGACGGCGCGAGCAGGUGCGAAAGCAGGUCAUAGUGAUCCGGUGGUUCUGAAUGGAAGGGCCAUCGCUCAACGGAUAAAAGGUACUCCGGGGAUAACAGGCUGAUACCGCCCAAGAGUUCAUAUCGACGGCGGUGUUUGGCACCUCGAUGUCGGCUCAUCACAUCCUGGGGCUGAAGUAGGUCCCAAGGGUAUGGCUGUUCGCCAUUUAAAGUGGUACGCGAGCUGGGUUUAGAACGUCGUGAGACAGUUCGGUCCCUAUCUGCCGUGGGCGCUGGAGAACUGAGGGGGGCUGCUCCUAGUACGAGAGGACCGGAGUGGACGCAUCACUGGUGUUCGGGUUGUCAUGCCAAUGGCACUGCCCGGUAGCUAAAUGCGGAAGAGAUAAGUGCUGAAAGCAUCUAAGCACGAAACUUGCCCCGAGAUGAGUUCUCCCUGAC
This 2791-nucleotide ribosomal RNA is filed under the name Escherichia coli 4-203-08_S4_C3. RNAcentral's name for it is "bacterial LSU rRNA". It matches the Rfam family "Bacterial large subunit ribosomal RNA". Lineage: Bacteria; Pseudomonadati; Pseudomonadota; Gammaproteobacteria; Enterobacterales; Enterobacteriaceae. The record is from RNAcentral.